AAUCCAUAGGUUAAUGAGGCGAACCGGGGGAACUGAAACAUCUAAGUACCCCGAGGAAAAGAAAUCAACCGAGAUUCCCCCAGUAGCGGCGAGCGAACGGGGAGGAGCCCAGAGCCUGAAUCAGCAUGUGUGUUAGUGGAAGCGUCUGGAAAGGCGCGCGAUACAGGGUGACAGCCCCGUACACAAAAGCGCAUGUGCUGUGAGCUCGAUGAGUAGGGCGGGACACGUGGUAUCCUGUCUGAAUAUGGGGGGACCAUCCUCCAAGGCUAAAUACUCCUGACUGACCGAUAGUGAACCAGUACCGUGAGGGAAAGGCGAAAAGAACCCCGGCGAGGGGAGUGAAAAAGAACCUGAAACCGUGUACGUACAAGCAGUGGGAGCACCCUUUGGGUGUGACUGCGUACCUUUUGUAUAAUGGGUCAGCGACUUAUAUUCUGUAGCAAGGUUAACCGAAUAGGGGAGCCGGAGGGAAACCGAGUCUUAAUUGGGCGUUAAGUUGCAGGGUAUAGACCCGAAACCCGGUGAUCUAGCCAUGGGCAGGUUGAAGGUUGGGUAACACUAACUGGAGGACCGAACCGACUAAUGUUGAAAAAUUAGCGGAUGACCUGUGGCUGGGGGUGAAAGGCCAAUCAAACCGGGAGAUAGCUGGUUCUCCCCGAAAGCUAUUUAGGUAGCGCCUCGUGAAUUCAUCUCCGGGGGUAGAGCACUGUUUCGGCUAGGGGGCCAUCCCGGCUUACCAACCCGAUGCAAACUGCGAAUACCGGAGAAUGUUAUCACGGGAGACACACGGCGGGUGCUAACGUCCGUCGUGAAGAGGGAAACAACCCAGACCGCCAGCUAAGGUCCCAAAGUCAUGGUUAAGUGGGAAACGAUGUGGGAAGGCCCAGACAGCCAGGAUGUUGGCUUAGAAGCAGCCAUCAUUUAAAGAAAGCGUAAUAGCUCACUGGUCGAGUCGGCCUGCGCGGAAGAUGUAACGGGGCUAAACCAUGCACCGAAGCUGCGGCAGCGACACUGUGUGUUGUUGGGUAGGGGAGCGUUCUGUAAGCCUGCGAAGGUGGCCUGUGAGGGUUGCUGGAGGUAUCAGAAGUGCGAAUGCUGACAUAAGUAACGAUAAAGCGGGUGAAAAGCCCGCUCGCCGGAAGACCAAGGGUUCCUGUCCAACGUUAAUCGGGGCAGGGUGAGUCGACCCCUAAGGCGAGGCCGAAAGGCGUAGUCGAUGGGAAACGGGUUAAUAUUCCCGUACUUGGUGUUACUGCGAAGGGGGGACGGAGAAGGCUAUGUUGGCCGGGCGACGGUUGUCCCGGUUUAAGCGUGUAGGUGUGUGUUCCAGGUAAAUCCGGUUCACUUUAACACUGAGGCGUGACGACGAGGCACUACGGUGCUGAAGCAACAAAUGCCCUGCUUCCAGGAAAAGCCUCUAAGCAUCAGGUAACAUCAAAUCGUACCCCAAACCGACACAGGUGGUCAGGUAGAGAAUACCAAGGCGCUUGAGAGAACUCGGGUGAAGGAACUAGGCAAAAUGGUGCCGUAACUUCGGGAGAAGGCACGCUGACACGUAGGUGAAGUGAUUUACUCAUGGAGCUGAAGUCAGUCGAAGAUACCAGCUGGCUGCAACUGUUUAUUAAAAACACAGCACUGUGCAAACACGAAAGUGGACGUAUACGGUGUGACGCCUGCCCGGUGCCGGAAGGUUAAUUGAUGGGGUCAGCGCAAGCGAAGCUCCUGAUCGAAGCCCCGGUAAACGGCGGCCGUAACUAUAACGGUCCUAAGGUAGCGAAAUUCCUUGUCGGGUAAGUUCCGACCUGCACGAAUGGCGUAAUGAUGGCCAGGCUGUCUCCACCCGAGACUCAGUGAAAUUGAACUCGCUGUGAAGAUGCAGUGUACCCGCGGCAAGACGGAAAGACCCCGUGAACCUUUACUAUAGCUUGACACUGAACAUUGAGCCUUGAUGUGUAGGAUAGGUGGGAGGCUUUGAAGUGUGGACGCCAGUCUGCAUGGAGCCGACCUUGAAAUACCACCCUUUAAUGUUUGAUGUUCUAACGUGGACCCGUUACCCGGGUUGCGGACAGUGUCUGGUGGGUAGUUUGACUGGGGCGGUCUCCUCCUAAAGAGUAACGGAGGAGCACGAAGGUUGGCUAAUCCUGGUCGGACAUCAGGAGGUUAGUGCAAUGGCAUAAGCCAGCUUGACUGCGAGCGUGACGGCGCGAGCAGGUGCGAAAGCAGGUCAUAGUGAUCCGGUGGUUCUGAAUGGAAGGGCCAUCGCUCAACGGAUAAAAGGUACUCCGGGGAUAACAGGCUGAUACCGCCCAAGAGUUCAUAUCGACGGCGGUGUUUGGCACCUCGAUGUCGGCUCAUCACAUCCUGGGGCUGAAGUAGGUCCCAAGGGUAUGGCUGUUCGCCAUUUAAAGUGGUACGCGAGCUGGGUUUAGAACGUCGUGAGACAGUUCGGUCCCUAUCUGCCGUGGGCGCUGGAGAACUGAGGGGGGCUGCUCCUAGUACGAGAGGACCGGAGUGGACGCAUCACUGGUGUUCGGGUUGUCAUGCCAAUGGCACUGCCCGGUAGCUAAAUGCGGAAGAGAUAAGUGCUGAAAGCAUCUAAGCACGAAACUUGCCCCGAGAUGAGUUCUCCCUGAGACUUAAAGUCUCCUG
RNAcentral lists this ribosomal RNA (2649 nucleotides) under Salmonella enterica subsp. enterica serovar Enteritidis. RNAcentral's name for it is "partial 23S ribosomal RNA". It matches the Rfam family "Bacterial large subunit ribosomal RNA". Lineage: Bacteria; Pseudomonadati; Pseudomonadota; Gammaproteobacteria; Enterobacterales; Enterobacteriaceae. The record is from RNAcentral.